GGAGGGACCUGGGUAGAAGGAGAAGCCGGAAACAGCGGGCUGGGGCAGCCACUGCUUACACUGAAGAGGGAGGACGGGAGAGGAGUGUGUGUGUGUGUGUGUGUGUGUGUGUGUAUGUAUGUGUGUGUUUUAUCUUAUUUUUCUUUUUGGUGGUGGUGGUGGAAGGGGGGAGGUGCUAGCAGGGCCAGCCUUGAACUCGCUGGACAGAGCUACAGACCUAUGGGGCCUGGAAGUGCCCGCUGAGAAAGGGAGAAGACAGCAGAGGGGUUGCCGAGAGAAAGGCCUAUUGGAGGAACCUGAGCAGGAGGGGUAAGGAUUCUGCCUUGAGGAGAAAAGAGCUGGGGUAAGUGGGCACUGGAGGAAAGAGGGGCAUGAAGGUCUUGGAGCAGGAACGUCCAGAGAAGGGACCUCUCCAUUUUCCAUCCCUCUGAGAGGCCUGGGAGAGGUGAGAGGCUGAACGUGCAACAGGAGGACUUGGG
Molecule: long non-coding RNA, 479 nt
Filed under: Pan troglodytes (chimpanzee)
Lineage: Eukaryota; Metazoa; Chordata; Mammalia; Primates; Hominidae
Description: long non-coding RNA NONPTRT003425
Source: RNAcentral